AACGAACGCUGGCGGCGUGCCUAAUACAUGCAAGUCGAACGAGAAAGUGCCUUCGGGCAUGAGUAAAGUGGCAGACGGGUGAGUAGUACUUAGGUAACCUACCUCCGAGAUGGGGACAACCUUCCGAAAGGAGGGCUAAUACCGAAUAAGACCACAGUUGCUGCGGCGACAGGGGGUCAAAGGUGGCCUCUACUUGUAAGCUAUCGCUUGGAGAUGGGCUUAAGCACCAUUAGCUAGUUGGUAGGGUAAUGGCCUACCAAGGCUUCGAUGGUUAGCUGAUCUGAGAGGUUGAUCAGCCACACUGGAACUGAGACACGGUCCAGACUCCUACGGGAGGCAG
This 340-nucleotide ribosomal RNA is filed under the name uncultured Pseudomonadota bacterium. Its description in RNAcentral is "bacterial SSU rRNA". It matches the Rfam family "Bacterial small subunit ribosomal RNA", at positions 29 to 351 of the family's 1533-position model. The record is from RNAcentral. Lineage: Bacteria; Pseudomonadati; Pseudomonadota.